UUUUUUUUUUUUUAAUGCCCAGUUUCUAAGAAAAGGCCAUGAAGUGAUGGGAGCCCAUGGCAGGUAGCCCUCAGUGUUGGUCAUCCCCUCUCUACUGAGAUGCCUUCUCUCCAGGGUGGAGAUUAGCUGGAAAUCUUAGAUAAAACACCAUAACUCCCUCCCCGCCCUGAGAUCAAUAAUUCUGAGUUCACUUCUCCCUCCCAUUGUAGGGCAAGUAAAAUUAACUCAAGGAGAGGAAUAGGUAAGGAAUACAGAGGCACAGUUUCCAUGGCAACAGAGAGAAGCUGAGCCAACUUGAAAGGCUGCAUUUUCUAAUGAAGUUGUGGGUGUGUGCUGUUUUUCAUGACCAAACCUUAGAUCCUGGAGGGACCAUAAGCCAUUGUCCAGCCUCUUUCUUCUCCCCAUAGAUUGGAUGCCUUAGUCGCCUGUAGCUGUGUAGGCUGGUUUACACACGUGGCAACUAUUCUUGGAGUACCUGGGCCUGCCUCUCCCUGUCUCUACCUGCAUGCCGUCCAGCAGGAAGCUUCCUGGUUGGCCAUUCUUUCAGUAUUUCUACUUGAAGCAUGAAAGGGACCUUUGAAGAUUGCUCUCCUUUAUAACACCAGGAUGGCCAAAAAAGACAAUGUGCACGUGAUGGACAAAUAAUCUCCACAGGGGUCAGGCUGUUACCCUGAGGGUUUGUUGCUUGCUGGUUGGCUUGGAAACCUGUGUAGUCUAGCUUUUUAAGUAUCUGAUAUCUGGCAUUUUCUGCCAGAGAACACUUUCUACCCAGUGCCAAGAACAUUUUUAAUUGUAUUGAUUUGCAACUGCCUCUUCUAACAAGAAACCAAGAAAGUAUUGAUUGGUGCUUUAGGGAGUAAGAGUACCCUGGGAAUACUGUUCGGAUACAUUGUUCUUAAGUCUUAGUUGUGAGAGGCUCCUGUCUCAGUAGAGGGUCGAAUUCUUAGCACUGAAGAAACACUAAGAAGGUUGAACAAGGUAACCUAUUAAAAAUAGUUUAUGCUUUGCUAAUUAGUUUCGUCUCCCAUCUAACCUUGCCACAUUUGCUUUCAAUAUGAUAAAUCUAUAUUAGAAUGCUUAUGACAGGAGAUAUUCCUCUUCUUUCUCUUCCUUGCUGGCUCUUCCUUGAAAUCUCUUCUCAAAACGUUUGAAAGCUAUUAAGAACAUUCUUAUUUUUUUCUUCUUGGUAUGCAGCUUUUUAUUUAUUUAAUUUUUAAGUGUGUAUGUGUAAGUUUGGGCACAUGUGUCCCACCACUCAUCCAUGGAGGUCAGGUGUCUGUUCUUUCCUUCUGCCAUGGGGCCUUGGGGGUUAAACUCAGGUCUUUAGACCAUUGCAGCAAGUACCUUCACCCAUUGGGCCACCCUGCUAGCCCUUGAGUGGGCUUUUCAAAAUAGGGUCUCACUAUGUAGCCUUGGCUCCUCUGGAGUUUACUGUAUUAACCAAGUUGACCAUAAACUUGUAGUAAUCCUCUUACCUCAGUUUCCUGAUGAAAAUUCUAAAUUUUAAAUUAACAUGCAAAUGCUCAGUGGGUAAAGAGUACUUGUUACCAAGCCUCAGCUUCAAGACUCAUGCACAGUAGAAGGAAAAAGUUGAAAUCUAAACAACACUUUAGGAACCAUGGCAAUCAAGGAUAGACACACACACACACAUAUCUCAAAUAAAAGUAAUUAGUAAAAAGAAAAUAUCCAUGUAUUGGUGGCCAUGCGGUUCCCUUGAUUUUCUGAUUGUUUGUUUGAGACAGUGUCUCAUGUAGCCCAGGCUACCCCCAUGCUUGUUAUGAAAUAUUGGAUGAAUUUGGCUGAGAUCAAAGUCUGGAACUGCAGGCAUGCAGUACCACACCUGCACACUGUUGUUUCUUUAUUUUUGUUGUUUCUGGGCUUGGAUAAGGGCUUGCUGUGAACUCCAGACUGACCUGAAGCUUCCUGAACGUUGGGGUUACAGAUGUGCGUACCCCAUGCUGAUCUUGCUUACCUGGAUCAGUGUACCCACUUCUUAUUCUUCUGCCCCCCAGUUCUCUUAUUAGCUGUGCCUUUGUAACGGUGUGUUCAGAGGCAAACCAGCAUAGAGAGUGUCUAUCUGUCUGCUCCUUGGGGGUAAACUGAGAAGCUAUGGUUUAGGAUUCUCUGGGUCUCACAUUGAUAAUUUGUUAUUUCUAACUACAUUUUCCAGUUGAAAAUUUUUUCCGUAAAUCAGAUAGAAAAAUGUGUAGAGCGGAGUCAUCAUGUUUUAUAUGAGAAAUGCAAGCCAGAGACCUGGACUCUUAGAACCUUUAUUUUUAAAAGUGCUGUGUGUAGAUAUAUUCAGUGGGGAAAUUUUAAGUUACUUAAAUCCUUUUACAUUUGAAAAGUCUAUUUUCUUCAAGGCACACAAGACUUGGACCUCAAAAGUCUGGACAGAUUUGUUUUUCUUUCAAGACUUAUAUUAGAUAUUUUUAAAACACAUUUAAACAUUUUAAGGAAAACUGAAGUUCCCCUAUGUUAAUCCUCGUUAGAAACCAGGUGCCUCUUCCUCUGAGAUUUCUCUAGUUGUGUCUUGUUUUGUUAUAAAGAACAUCUGGCUCCUUUUUGUGUUGGGAAAAUCGUACUAUCAACUGGCAUUUAAGAUGAUACCUGAGGAGCCACUUAAUGAUGUGUGAGCAUG
This 2641-nucleotide long non-coding RNA is filed under the name Mus musculus (house mouse). Its description in RNAcentral is "long non-coding RNA chr3:28034655-28037296". The record is from RNAcentral. Lineage: Eukaryota; Metazoa; Chordata; Mammalia; Rodentia; Muridae.